RNAcentral lists this long non-coding RNA (5112 nucleotides) under Lathyrus oleraceus (garden pea). RNAcentral describes it as "Pisum sativum (pea) long non-coding RNA (PSAT_LNC040928)". Lineage: Eukaryota; Viridiplantae; Streptophyta; Magnoliopsida; Fabales; Fabaceae. The record is from RNAcentral.
AAAUGUACAGAUCAAGUGAUUUCUGAUAUAGGUUGAUCCUUUGAAGGUUACACAUCUCUAACUUGUUUAUUUUGUCACUCUAUUCAUCUGUGUAUCCUCUUAUUUUCAAUUUUAUUCUUUCCUCACCAAUGAUUAUGAUCGGGUUUUUUGUAUUGUUUUAUUGAGAUUGAGAUGUUUGUUAGGAUUAUGAGGAUCUCACAGUAAUAAAGGUGAUGCUAUUGUAACACUGGAAAAAUGAUUGAGUUGGUUUCCUUUAUACGACACGAUCUCAUUUUCAUUUUCUUAUAAUUAUUCUGUUUUCUUGUUUUCUUUUUCAUUUUCUACUUAUAAUUAGUAUUUUUGCAUAUUUUUUAAUCUGUAUAACUUAUGUUAAUUGUUUAAUUAUCAGAAUAUAGAAGAUGACAUUGUAUGUUCUUUAGGAUAUAAGUAUAUAUUUAAUUAAUUUUGAUGUUCAAUACAUAUCUUUCUAAACUAUUUAAUGUCAAGGUUUGUUAAUCAUUACAUGUUCGAUUGAUUUAUAUAAGUGAGGAUGUACUUAAUAGAAAUAUUUAGCUUACACUAUUUAAUAGAAAUCUCUUGUUCAUGAUCACUUUAUGAUUGUAUAAACAAAAUACAAAGGGUAAAAAAAUACGUACACUUGAUAAAUUGUCAUAUUUUCCUUUUUUUUCUUUCUUUUAUGAGUCAUUUUCUUUCUUAUCUAUCAAAUGUACAGAUCAAGUGAUUUCUGAUAUAGGUUGAUCUUUUGAAGGUUACACAUCUCUAACUUGUUUAUUUUGUCACUCUAUUCAUCUGUGUUUCCUCUUAUUUUCAAUUUUAUUCUUGCCUCACCAAUGAUUAUGAUCGGGUUUUUUGUAUUGUUUUGAUGAGAUUGAGAUGUUUGUUAGGAUUAUGAGGAUCUCACAAUAAUAAAGGUGAUGCUAAUGUAACACUGGAAAAAUGAUUGAGUUGGUUUCCUUUAUACCACACGAUCUCAUUUUCAUUUUCUUAUAAUUAUUCUGUUUUCUUUUUUUCUUUUUCAUUUUCUACUUAUAAUUAGUAUUUUAGCAUAUUUUUUAAUCUGUAUAACUUAUGUUAAUUGUUUAAUUAUCAGAAUAUAGAAGAUGACAUUGUAUGUUCUUUAGGAUAUAAGUAUAUAUUUAAUUAAUUUUGAUGUUCAAUACAUAUCUUUCUAAACUAUUUAAUGUCAAGGUUUGUUAAUCAUUACAUGUUCGAUUGAUUUAUAUAAGUGAGGAUGUACUUAAUAGAAAUAUUUAGCUUACACUAUUUAAUAGAAAUCUCUUGUUCAUGAUCACUUUAUGAUUGUAUAAACAAAAUACAAAGGGUAAAAAAAUACGUACACUUGAUAAAUUGUCAUAUUUUCCUUUUUUUUCUUUCUUUUAUGAGUCAUUUUCUUUCUUAUCUAUCAAAUGUACAGAUCAAGUGAUUUCUGAUAUAGGUUGAUCUUUUGAAGGUUACACAUCUCUAACUUGUUUAUUUUGUCACUCUAUUCAUCUGUGUUUCCUCUUAUUUUCAAUUUUAUUCUUGCCUCACCAAUGAUUAUGAUCGGGUUUUUUGUAUUGUUUUGAUGAGAUUGAGAUGUUUGUUAGGAUUAUGAGGAUCUCACAAUAAUAAAGGUGAUGCUAAUGUAACACUGGAAAAAUGAUUGAGUUGGUUUCCUUUAUACCACACGAUCUCAUUUUCAUUUUCUUAUAAUUAUUCUGUUUUCUUUUUUUCUUUUUCAUUUUCUACUUAUAAUUAGUAUUUUAGCAUAUUUUUUAAUCUGUAUAACUUAUGUUAAUUGUUUAAUUAUCAGAAUAUAGAAGAUGACAUUGUAUGUUCUUUAGGAUAUAAGUAUAUAUUUAAUUAAUUUUGAUGUUCAAUACAUAUCUUUCUAAACUAUUUAAUGUCAAGGUUUGUUAAUCAUUACAUGUUCGAUUGAUUUAUAUAAGUGAGGAUGUACUUAAUAGAAAUAUUUAGCUUACACUAUUUAAUAGAAAUCUCUUGUUCAUGAUCACUUUAUGAUUGUAUAAACAAAAUACAAAGGGUAAAAAAAUACGUACACUUGAUAAAUUGUCAUAUUUUCCUUUUUUUUCUUUCUUUUAUGAGUCAUUUUCUUUCUUAUCUAUCAAAUGUACAGAUCAAGUGAUUUCUGAUAUAGGUUGAUCUUUUGAAGGUUACACAUCUCUAACUUGUUUAUUUUGUCACUCUAUUCAUCUGUGUUUCCUCUUAUUUUCAAUUUUAUUCUUGCCUCACCAAUGAUUAUGAUCGGGUUUUUUGUAUUGUUUUGAUGAGAUUGAGAUGUUUGUUAGGAUUAUGAGGAUCUCACAAUAAUAAAGGUGAUGCUAAUGUAACACUGGAAAAAUGAUUGAGUUGGUUUCCUUUAUACCACACGAUCUCAUUUUCAUUUUCUUAUAAUUAUUCUGUUUUCUUUUUUUCUUUUUCAUUUUCUACUUAUAAUUAGUAUUUUAGCAUAUUUUUUAAUCUGUAUAACUUAUGUUAAUUGUUUAAUUAUCAGAAUAUAGAAGAUGACAUUGUAUGUUCUUUAGGAUAUAAGUAUAUAUUUAAUUAAUUUUGAUGUUCAAUACAUAUCUUUCUAAACUAUUUAAUGUCAAGGUUUGUUAAUCAUUACAUGUUCGAUUGAUUUAUAUAAGUGAGGAUGUACUUAAUAGAAAUAUUUAGCUUACACUAUUUAAUAGAAAUCUCUUGUUCAUGAUCACUUUAUGAUUGUAUAAACAAAAUACAAAGGGUAAAAAAAUACGUACACUUGAUAAAUUGUCAUAUUUUCCUUUUUUUUCUUUCUUUUAUGAGUCAUUUUCUUUCUUAUCUAUCAAAUGUACAGAUCAAGUGAUUUCUGAUAUAGGUUGAUCUUUUGAAGGUUACACAUCUCUAACUUGUUUAUUUUGUCACUCUAUUCAUCUGUGUUUCCUCUUAUUUUCAAUUUUAUUCUUGCCUCACCAAUGAUUAUGAUCGGGUUUUUUGUAUUGUUUUGAUGAGAUUGAGAUGUUUGUUAGGAUUAUGAGGAUCUCACAAUAAUAAAGGUGAUGCUAAUGUAACACUGGAAAAAUGAUUGAGUUGGUUUCCUUUAUACCACACGAUCUCAUUUUCAUUUUCUUAUAAUUAUUCUGUUUUCUUUUUUUCUUUUUCAUUUUCUACUUAUAAUUAGUAUUUUAGCAUAUUUUUUAAUCUGUAUAACUUAUGUUAAUUGUUUAAUUAUCAGAAUAUAGAAGAUGACAUUGUAUGUUCUUUAGGAUAUAAGUAUAUAUUUAAUUAAUUUUGAUGUUCAAUACAUAUCUUUCUAAACUAUUUAAUGUCAAGGUUUGUUAAUCAUUACAUGUUCGAUUGAUUUAUAUAAGUGAGGAUGUACUUAAUAGAAAUAUUUAGCUUACACUAUUUAAUAGAAAUCUCUUGUUCAUGAUCACUUUAUGAUUGUAUAAACAAAAUACAAAGGGUAAAAAAAUACGUACACUUGAUAAAUUGUCAUAUUUUCCUUUUUUUUCUUUCUUUUAUGAGUCAUUUUCUUUCUUAUCUAUCAAAUGUACAGAUCAAGUGAUUUCUGAUAUAGGUUGAUCUUUUGAAGGUUACACAUCUCUAACUUGUUUAUUUUGUCACUCUAUUCAUCUGUGUUUCCUCUUAUUUUCAAUUUUAUUCUUGCCUCACCAAUGAUUAUGAUCGGGUUUUUUGUAUUGUUUUGAUGAGAUUGAGAUGUUUGUUAGGAUUAUGAGGAUCUCACAAUAAUAAAGGUGAUGCUAAUGUAACACUGGAAAAAUGAUUGAGUUGGUUUCCUUUAUACCACACGAUCUCAUUUUCAUUUUCUUAUAAUUAUUCUGUUUUCUUUUUUUCUUUUUCAUUUUCUACUUAUAAUUAGUAUUUUAGCAUAUUUUUUAAUCUGUAUAACUUAUGUUAAUUGUUUAAUUAUCAGAAUAUAGAAGAUGACAUUGUAUGUUCUUUAGGAUAUAAGUAUAUAUUUAAUUAAUUUUGAUGUUCAAUACAUAUCUUUCUAAACUAUUUAAUGUCAAGGUUUGUUAAUCAUUACAUGUUCGAUUGAUUUAUAUAAGUGAGGAUGUACUUAAUAGAAAUAUUUAGCUUACACUAUUUAAUAGAAAUCUCUUGUUCAUGAUCACUUUAUGAUUGUAUAAACAAAAUACAAAGGGUAAAAAAAUACGUACACUUGAUAAAUUGUCAUAUUUUCCUUUUUUUUCUUUCUUUUAUGAGUCAUUUUCUUUCUUAUCUAUCAAAUGUACAGAUCAAGUGAUUUCUGAUAUAGGUUGAUCUUUUGAAGGUUACACAUCUCUAACUUGUUUAUUUUGUCACUCUAUUCAUCUGUGUUUCCUCUUAUUUUCAAUUUUAUUCUUGCCUCACCAAUGAUUAUGAUCGGGUUUUUUGUAUUGUUUUGAUGAGAUUGAGAUGUUUGUUAGGAUUAUGAGGAUCUCACAAUAAUAAAGGUGAUGCUAAUGUAACACUGGAAAAAUGAUUGAGUUGGUUUCCUUUAUACCACACGAUCUCAUUUUCAUUUUCUUAUAAUUAUUCUGUUUUCUUUUUUUCUUUUUCAUUUUCUACUUAUAAUUAGUAUUUUAGCAUAUUUUUUAAUCUGUAUAACUUAUGUUAAUUGUUUAAUUAUCAGAAUAUAGAAGAUGACAUUGUAUGUUCUUUAGGAUAUAAGUAUAUAUUUAAUUAAUUUUGAUGUUCAAUACAUAUCUUUCUAAACUAUUUAAUGUCAAGGUUUGUUAAUCAUUACAUGUUCGAUUGAUUUAUAUAAGUGAGGAUGUACUUAAUAGAAAUAUUUAGCUUACACUAUUUAAUAGAAAUCUCUUGUUCAUGAUCACUUUAUGAUUGUAUAAACAAAAUACAAAUGUAAAAAAAAUACGUACACUUGAUAAAUUGUCAUAUUUUCCUUUUUUUCUUUCUUUUAUGAGUCAUUUUCUUUAUGAUCUAUCAAAUGUAAAGAUCAAGUGAUUUCUGAUAUAGGUUGGUCUUUUGAAGGUUACACAUCUCUAACUUGUUUAUUUUGUCACUCUAUUCAUCUGUGUAUCCUCUUAUUUUCAAUUUUAUUCUUGCCUCACCAAUGAUUAUGAUCGGGUUUUUUGUAUUGUUUUGAUGAGAUUGAGAUGUUUGUAAGGAUUAUGAGGAUCUCAC